CCUACGGGAGGCAGCAGUGAGGAAUAUUGGUCAAUGGCCGUAAGGCUGAACCAGCCAAGUCGCGUGAAGGAAGCAGGAUCUAUGGUUUUUAAACUUCUUUUAUAGCGGAAUAAAGGUAUCCACGGGUGGAUACUAGCAUGUACCCUAUGUAUAAGCAUCGGCUAACUCCGUGCCAGGAGCCGCGGUAAUACGGAGGAUGCGAGCGUUAUGCGGAUUUAUUGGGGUUAAAGGGUGCGUAGGUUGUUUUUUAAGUCAGCUGUGAAAGUUGGUGGCUCAACCAUAAAAUUGCCGUUGAGACUGGAAGACGUGAGUGUGUUUGAGGUAGGCGGAAUGCGUGGUGUAGCGGUGAAAUGCAUAGAUAUCACGCAGAAUUCCGAUUGCGAAGGCAGCUUACUAAGCCAUAACUGACACUGAAGCACGAAAGCGUGGGGAUCAAACAGGAUUAGAUACCCUUGUAGUC
RNAcentral lists this ribosomal RNA (460 nucleotides) under uncultured bacterium. RNAcentral describes it as "partial 16S ribosomal RNA". It matches the Rfam family "Bacterial small subunit ribosomal RNA", at positions 338 to 795 of the family's 1533-position model. The record is from RNAcentral.